RNAcentral lists this ribosomal RNA (253 nucleotides) under uncultured bacterium. RNAcentral's name for it is "partial 16S ribosomal RNA". It matches the Rfam family "Bacterial small subunit ribosomal RNA", at positions 524 to 776 of the family's 1533-position model. The record is from RNAcentral.
UACGGGGGGAGCAAGCGUUGUUCGGAUUUACUGGGCGUAAAGGGCGCGUAGGCGGCGUAACAAGUCACUUGUGAAAUCUCCGGGCUUAACUCGGAGCGGCCAAGUGAUACUGUUGUGCUAGAGUGCGGAAGGGGCUACUGGAAUUCUCGGUGUAGCGGUGAAAUGCGUAGAUAUCGAGAGGAACACCUGCGGCGAAGGCGGGUAGCUGGGCCGACACUGACGCUGAGGCGCGAAAGCUAGGGGAGCGAACGGG